GAUGAACGCUGGCGGCGUGCUUAACACAUGCAAGUCGAACGAUUAAACCGCCCUCGGGCGGAAAUAGAGUGGCGAACGGGUGAGUAACACGUGACCAACCUGCCCCGCGCUCCGGGACAACCGCUGGAAACGGCGGCUAAUACCGGAUACUCCGGCCAGCCCGCAUGGGCCGGCCGGGAAAGCCUUCACGGCGCGGGAUGGGGUCGCGGCCCAUUAGGUAGUAGGCGGGGUAACGGCCCACCUAGCCCGCGAUGGGUAGCCGGACUGAGAGGUCGACCGGCCACAUUGGGACUGAGAUACGGCCCAGACUCCUACGGGAGGCAGCAGUGGGGAAUUUUGCGCAAUGGGGGAAACCCUGACGCAGCAACGCCGCGUGCGGGACGACGGCCCUCGGGUUGUAAACCGCUUUCAGUGGGGACGAUGGUGACGGUACC
RNAcentral lists this ribosomal RNA (434 nucleotides) under uncultured bacterium. RNAcentral describes it as "bacterial SSU rRNA". It matches the Rfam family "Bacterial small subunit ribosomal RNA", at positions 28 to 479 of the family's 1533-position model. The record is from RNAcentral.